UGCUAGUUGCACGAGUUCAGACUCGUAGCAGAUAGCUCAGUAACACGUGGCCAAACUGCCCUAUAGACGGCGAUAACCUCGGGAAACUGAGGCUAAUAGCCGAUACCGUUCAACGCCUGGAGUGGCGUGAACGCGAAACGUUCAGGCGCUAUAGGAUGUGGCUGCGGCCGAUUAGGUAGACGGUGGGGUAACGGCCCACCGUGCCUAUAAUCGGUACGGGUUGUGAGAGCAAGAGCCCGGAGACGGUAUCUGAGACAAGAUACCGGGCCCUACGGGGCGCAGCAGGCGCGAAACCUUUACACUGCACGCGAGUGCGAUAAGGGGACUCCGAGUGCGAGGGCAUAUAGUCCUCGCUUUUUUCGACCGUAAGGUGGUCGAGGAAUAAGUGCUGGGCAAGACCGGUGCCAGCCGCCGCGGUAAUACCGGCAGCACGAGUGAUGACCGCUAUUAUUGGGCCUAAAGCGUCCGUAGCUGGCCAGGCAAGUCUAUCGGGAAAUCUGCGCGCUUAACGCGCAGGCGUCCGGUGGAAACUGCAUGGCUUGGGACCGGAAGACCAGAGGGGUACGUCCGGGGUAGGAGUGAAAUCCCGUAAUCCUGGACGGACCACCGGUGGCGAAAGCGCCUCUGGAAGACGGAUCCGACGGUGAGGGACGAAAGCUCGGGUCACGAACCGGAUUAGAUACCCGGGUAGUCCGAGCUGUAAACGAUGUCUGCUAGGUGUGGCACAGGCUACGAGCCUGUGCUGUGCCGUAGGGAAGCCGAGAAGCAGACCGCCUGGGAAGUACGUCCGCAAGGAUGAAACUUAAAGGAAUUGGCGGGGGAGCACUACAACCGGAGGAGCCUGCGGUUUAAUUGGACUCAACGCCGGACAUCUCACCAGCAUCGACAAUGUGCAGUGAAGGUCAGAUUGAUGAUCUUACUGGAGCCAUUGAGAGGAGGUGCAUGGCCGCCGUCAGCUCGUACCGUGAGGCGUCCUGUUAAGUCAGGCAACGAGCGAGACCCACAUCCUUAAUUGCCAGCAACACCCUUGUGGUGGUUGGG
RNAcentral lists this ribosomal RNA (1041 nucleotides) under Haloterrigena sp. BsC5. RNAcentral's name for it is "bacterial SSU rRNA". It matches the Rfam family "Archaeal small subunit ribosomal RNA", at positions 52 to 1091 of the family's 1478-position model. Lineage: Archaea; Methanobacteriati; Methanobacteriota; Halobacteria; Halobacteriales; Natrialbaceae. The record is from RNAcentral.